RNAcentral lists this ribosomal RNA (216 nucleotides) under uncultured soil bacterium. RNAcentral's name for it is "partial 16S ribosomal RNA". It matches the Rfam family "Bacterial small subunit ribosomal RNA", at positions 26 to 240 of the family's 1533-position model. The record is from RNAcentral.
AGGACGAACGCUGGCGGCGUGCUUAACACAUGCAAGUGGGGCGACGAACCAGGCUUCGGCCUGGGCAAAGCCGCGAACGGGUGAGUAACACGUGGUAGCCUGCCCUGAAGACUGGGACAACCCGGGAAACCGGCUAAUACCGGAUGUGGUCAUCGUUCACAAGGACGAUGAGCAAAGGAAGCUUCGGCCUCCGCUUUGGGAUGGGCCCGCGGCCCA